AGGCUUGUAGCUCAGUGGUUAAGAGUUUAUGUUUCCUAAACAUAAAGUCAAAGGUUCGAAUCCUUUCAAGCCUA
Molecule: transfer RNA, 74 nt
Filed under: Ostreobium sp. TRHA14-720
Lineage: Eukaryota; Viridiplantae; Chlorophyta; Ulvophyceae; Bryopsidales; Ostreobiaceae
Description: tRNA-Arg
Rfam family: tRNA
About the family: Transfer RNA (tRNA) molecules are approximately 80 nucleotides in length. Their secondary structure includes four short double-helical elements and three loops (D, anti-codon, and T loops).
Source: RNAcentral